GGAGAGAAUUUAUGAUUCUCUUCAUCAUGUGAGGCCUCAAAUAAAAAUAUUCACAAAGAUGAGUGUAUAAACAAUCCCAGUCCAUGAAUAGGGCUACAAUUAGAUAAGAUCUGACAAUUGGAGCUGACAAUUCAUCUGUUGUGAUACACACAAGAAAAGAAAAAGAAAGAAAGAAAGAAAGGAAAGAAAGAAAGAAAAUAAAGAAAGAGAAAAACAUCAUCUAAGAAAGAAGUGCAAAUUGUUCAAACUUCACCUGAGAUAGAAAAGCAAACUGUUCAAACUUCACCUAAUAAAGAAAUGCAAAAUUUUCAACUUUCAAUUAUGAACAAAGAGCAAAAUGUUUAAACUUUAUUUCAGAAAAAAAUAGUAAAAAUUUACUAUUUCAGAA
Molecule: long non-coding RNA, 388 nt
Filed under: Pan troglodytes (chimpanzee)
Lineage: Eukaryota; Metazoa; Chordata; Mammalia; Primates; Hominidae
Description: long non-coding RNA NONPTRT012799
Source: RNAcentral